Molecule: transfer RNA, 87 nt
Filed under: Syntrophomonadaceae bacterium
Lineage: Bacteria; Bacillati; Bacillota; Clostridia; Eubacteriales; Syntrophomonadaceae
Description: tRNA-Leu
Rfam family: tRNA
About the family: Transfer RNA (tRNA) molecules are approximately 80 nucleotides in length. Their secondary structure includes four short double-helical elements and three loops (D, anti-codon, and T loops).
Source: RNAcentral
GCCGAAGGUGGGAGUCGAACCCGCAGCGGACUCAAAAUCCGCCGUGGUUCACCCCACAUGUGGGUUCGACUCCCACCUUCGGCACCA